AACGAACGCUGGCGGCAUGCCUAACACAUGCAAGUCGAACGAGACCUUCGGGUCUAGUGGCGCACGGGUGCGUAACGCGUGGGAACCUGCCCUUAGGUUCGGAAUAACUCCCCGAAAGGGGUGGUAAUACCGGAUAAUGUCUUCGGACCAAAGAUUUAUCGCCUUAGGAUGGGCCCGCGUUGGAUUAGCUAGUUGGUAGGGUAAAAGCCUACCAAGGCGACGAUCCAUAGCUGGUCUGAGAGGAUGAUCAGCCACACUGGGACUGAGACACGGCCCAGACUCCUACGGGAAGCAGCAGUGGGGAAUAUUGGACAAUGGGCGAAAGCCUGAUCCAGCAAUGCCGCGUGAGUGAUGAAGGCCUUAGGGUUGUAAAGCUCUUUUAGCCGGGAUGAUAAUGACAGUACCGGGAGAAUAAGCCCCGGCUAACUCCGUG
RNAcentral lists this ribosomal RNA (433 nucleotides) under uncultured bacterium. Its description in RNAcentral is "partial 16S ribosomal RNA". It matches the Rfam family "Bacterial small subunit ribosomal RNA", at positions 29 to 507 of the family's 1533-position model. The record is from RNAcentral.